GGUAAUGUGGCUUAGUGGUAGAGUGCUUGCCUAGCAGGCAUGAAGUCCUGGGUUCGAUUCCUCAGUACCA
Molecule: transfer RNA, 70 nt
Filed under: Dipodomys ordii (Ord's kangaroo rat)
Lineage: Eukaryota; Metazoa; Chordata; Mammalia; Rodentia; Heteromyidae
Rfam family: tRNA
About the family: Transfer RNA (tRNA) molecules are approximately 80 nucleotides in length. Their secondary structure includes four short double-helical elements and three loops (D, anti-codon, and T loops). Further hydrogen bonds mediate the characteristic L-shaped molecular structure. tRNAs have two regions of fundamental functional importance: the anti-codon, which is responsible for specific mRNA codon recognition, and the 3' end, to which the tRNAs corresponding amino acid is attached (by aminoacyl-tRNA synthetases). tRNAs cope with the degeneracy of the genetic code in two manners: having more than one tRNA (with a specific anti-codon) for a particular amino acid; and 'wobble' base-pairing, i.e. permitting non-standard base-pairing at the 3rd anti-codon position.
Source: Rfam by way of RNAcentral